GUAUGCAAAUUAAAAUCAUCUCUGAAAGGGGGUAAUCGUUUCAUGAGCAGAGGGUGUGCGGAUCGGAGAAGGAUAAGGGAAAACUGCCUGGAACGGAAAAGCGGAAAGCAGACGAUGCAGAUGCGAAUAAGGAUU
Long non-coding RNA from Photinus pyralis (common eastern firefly), 135 nucleotides. RefSeq lists it as uncharacterized. The transcript has 2 exons. The record is from RefSeq and is a predicted model, not a curated record. NCBI's taxonomy places the organism in Eukaryota, Metazoa, Arthropoda, Insecta, Coleoptera, Lampyridae.